AGUAGGAUUGGGUGUAGCUCAGUGGUACAGCACUUGCCUAGCAUGCAAGAGGCCCUGGGUUUGAUCCCCAGCAUUACUU
Non-coding RNA from Sciurus carolinensis (gray squirrel), 79 nucleotides. The record is from the annotation of a RefSeq genome assembly. Lineage: Eukaryota; Metazoa; Chordata; Mammalia; Rodentia; Sciuridae.